GAGGCGGGCAGAGGUAGGUUGGGGUUCAUCGGUUCUGGGUUCCUCCACUACUGGGAGUGCGUUUACUGGGGUGCUAAGUCCCCUUUGUUGCAUUAUCUGCCCCAACCAGUGGGCAGUGGUUUGUAGCUGGAGAGCCAUGGUUUGAAUGUCUUGGUUAGACAGGGUCAUGGUGGGAGUAUUCCCUUCCAGGCUUGGCGAGGGAUUAAGAGAGAUAGGUGUUUGGUUAUUCAACGUUGUAGGGCUAGAAAAGGAGAACUGCUGCCCAUCUUGGGCAGAGCUCAAGUCAUUUGGAAUAUUAAGGUUACUGUCUUGGUGGUUUGCCAUCGUGGAUCUCAGUGGGUUGUGAAAGUGAAAACUCCGGUGAUGAAAAGAUCUCCUUCGUUUCCCACAG
Molecule: long non-coding RNA, 391 nt
Filed under: Manihot esculenta (cassava)
Lineage: Eukaryota; Viridiplantae; Streptophyta; Magnoliopsida; Malpighiales; Euphorbiaceae
Description: long non-coding RNA (MESC_LNC002448)
Source: RNAcentral